Molecule: ribosomal RNA, 294 nt
Filed under: uncultured bacterium
Lineage: Bacteria
Description: partial 16S ribosomal RNA
Rfam family: Bacterial small subunit ribosomal RNA
Source: RNAcentral
GACUAACGCUGGCGGCGCGCCUAACACAUGCAAGUCGCACGAGAAACUCCGUAGCAAUACGGGGCGGUAAAGUGGCGAACGGGUGAGUAAUGCAUGGGUGACCUGUCCUCAAGAUGGGAAUAACCUCGCGAAAGCGGGGCUAAUACCCAAUGCCAUCUCGGUCCUACGGGAUCGGGAUGAAAGAUAGCUGUCACAGGCUGUCACUUGAGGAGGGGCUCAUGCCCAUCAGCUAGUUGGUAGGUAACGGCCUACCAAGGCUAUGACGGGUAGCUGGUCUGAGAGGACGACCAGCCA